This 495-nucleotide ribosomal RNA is filed under the name uncultured bacterium. RNAcentral describes it as "partial 16S ribosomal RNA". It matches the Rfam family "Bacterial small subunit ribosomal RNA", at positions 28 to 507 of the family's 1533-position model. The record is from RNAcentral.
GACGAACGCUGGCGGCGUGCCUAAUACAUGCAAGUAGAACGCUGAAGGAGGAGCUUGCUCUUCUGGAUGAGUUGCGAACGGGUGAGUAGCGCGUAGGUAACCUGCCUGGUAGCGGGGGAUAACUAUUGGAAACGAUAGCUAAUACCGCAUAAGAGUAGAUGUUGCAUGACAUUUGCUUAAAAGGUGCAAUUGCAUCACUACCAGAUGGACCUGCGUUGUAUUAGCUAGUUGGUGGGGUAACGGCUCACCAAGGCGACGAUACAUAGCCGACCUGAGAGGGUGAUCGGCCACACUGGGACUGAGACACGGCCCAGACUCCUACGGGAGGCAGCAGUAGGGAAUCUUCGGCAAUGGACGGAAGUCUGACCGAGCAACGCCGCGUGAGUGAAGAAGGUUUUCGGAUCGUAAAGCUCUGUUGUAAGAGAAGAACGAGUGUGAGAGUGGAAAGUUCACACUGUGACGGUAUCUUACCAGAAAGGGACGGCUAACUACGUG